UAGUACUGGUAGCAACUGUUUAAUCUGCGAUCAGUAAUUCUAUUAAAAUUUUUUGGUUAAGGAUUGGGUUCUUUGUGGGUAGAAGUGGGAACUGGGGGGCGUGAAUAGUGUAUUUGGCAGGGAGGAAAAUAAAUUAAAUGAUCCCCUUAUUUACGAAGAAUUAACCACCUAAAAUUCUCUUGUAAGGUAUGUUGGAGGCAGUGGCGGACUGGCCAGGACAUUAAGUCUAAU
Non-coding RNA from Pelobates cultripes (western spadefoot toad), 231 nucleotides. NCBI's taxonomy places the organism in Eukaryota, Metazoa, Chordata, Amphibia, Anura, Pelobatidae. The record is from the annotation of a GenBank genome assembly.